CCCUUAGAUGUUCUGGGCCGCACGCGUGCUACACUGAGUGGAUCAGCGGGUCAGGUUGCGCGAAAGCGUUUCCUAAUCUUUAAAUCCGCUCGUGAUGGGGAUUGACGGUUGCAAUUUUCUGUCAUGAACGAGGAAUACCUUGUAAGCGCGGGUCAUCAUCCCGCGCUGAAUACGUCCCUGCCCUUUGUACACACCGCCGUCGCUCCUACCGAUUGAGUGGUCCGGUGAGGCUUUGGGAUCUGAGCGGAAAGAGCGUUUCGCUGUUUCUGCUCGGAAAACUCAGUCGAACCUUAUCAUUUAGAGGAAGGAGAAGUCGUAACA
RNAcentral lists this ribosomal RNA (321 nucleotides) under uncultured eukaryote. Its description in RNAcentral is "partial 18S ribosomal RNA". It matches the Rfam family "Eukaryotic small subunit ribosomal RNA", at positions 1470 to 1796 of the family's 1831-position model. The record is from RNAcentral.